RNAcentral lists this ribosomal RNA (290 nucleotides) under Pelobates cultripes (western spadefoot toad). Its description in RNAcentral is "SSU_rRNA_microsporidia". It matches the Rfam family "Eukaryotic small subunit ribosomal RNA", at positions 174 to 475 of the family's 1831-position model. Lineage: Eukaryota; Metazoa; Chordata; Amphibia; Anura; Pelobatidae. The record is from RNAcentral.
UGUUGCUGUGUGUCGUCCAGUCAUUGGGAUCUGUAUUGGGAUAUUCGUGGAUUACCUUACUUACUGUGACUGUUGUUCUAUGGGAUUUUAUUACUUGUUCCUGAGCCUCACUGGGACCUUUAGUGGAGUUAACCUGUGAAAGACCAGCUCUCCGCUACACAUGGUGACCAUGGGUAAUGGGGAAUCAGGGUUCCAUUCCAUACAGGGACCCUGAGAAACAGCUACCACAUGCAAGGAAGGCAGCAGGCGCGCAAAUGACCCCCUCCCGACAUGGGAAGGUAAUGACGACA